GACGAACGCUGGCGGUGUGCUUAACACAUGCAAGUGGUGCGACGAACCAGAGCUUGCUCUGGGGCAAAGCCGCGAACGGGUGAGUAACACGUGGGUAAUCUACCCCGAUGACCGGGACAACCCGAGGAAACUCGGGCUAAUACCGGAUGUGGUACGGAGACAUAAGUCUCUUUACUAAAGGUAGCUUCGGCUUCCGCAUUGGGAGGGGCCCGCGGCCCAUUAGCUAGUUGGUGGGGUCAAGGCCUACCAAGGCAACGAUGGUAGCUGGUCUGAGAGGACGAUCGGCCACACUGGGACUGAGACACGGCCCAGACUCCUACGGGAGGCAGCAGUGGGGAAUCUUGCGCAAUGCGCGAAAGCGUGACGCAGCAACACCGCGUGAGGGAAGACGGCCUUAGGGUUGUAAACCUCUUUCAGAUGGGACGAAGGUGAUGCGGUGAAUAGCCGAUGUCAUUGACGGUACCGUCAGAAGAAGCUCCGGCUAACUACGUGCCAGCAGCC
This 501-nucleotide ribosomal RNA is filed under the name uncultured bacterium. RNAcentral describes it as "bacterial SSU rRNA". It matches the Rfam family "Bacterial small subunit ribosomal RNA", at positions 28 to 516 of the family's 1533-position model. The record is from RNAcentral.